ANNUUAUAUGAUCAUGGCUCAGAUUGAACCGCUAGCGUAAAUAGCCUUACACAUAGCAAGUACGAACGGCAGCACGGACUAUACGGUACUAGGUAGGCGAGUAGGCGAACGGGUAGAGUAAUAGUAUACGGAACGUAGCCCAGUAGCGGGGGAUAACUACGCGAAAGCGUAGCUAAAUAACCGCAUAACGCCCUAACGGGGGAAAAGCACGAGGCGAUACGCAAGACCUUAGACACUAAUUAGGAGCGGCCAGAUAUACAGGAUUAGCUAAGUUGUGUAGGGGUAACAGGCUACACCAAGGCGACCGAUCCGUAGCUUGGUUUUGAGAGGACGACCAGACCACAACUAGGGGCACUNGANAGAACCACUGGCACCAAGAGAACUCCUACGGGAAGGCAGCAGUUAGGGGGCGAAUUUUUAGAGAACGAAUAGCGGGGUGAAAAACCCCCGUGAAUACACGAGGCCCAAUCCCCCGCCGANUUGUUGCGAUUGAAGCGAGGCCCCUNUCCGGGGGUUUGGUAAAAAGGCGACUAUUUNUUGGGCCACGGGAAAGAGACAAACGNUCCAUUGGGGUUUAAAUUUAACCCCCCGGGUGGCAAAAACCGUUGGAACCGGGUUACCCCCAUAGGCAGGAAAAUUAA
This 641-nucleotide ribosomal RNA is filed under the name uncultured bacterium. Its description in RNAcentral is "partial 16S ribosomal RNA". The record is from RNAcentral.